AAGGCGAUUAACAUUUCAAACACGGUGACUGUUUCUUACGUGGACGACGUUGUGUUGAACAUGGGAUCUACACAUUAAGAAACAAAGACAUGAACGUCUCCAUGGAAAGACUGGGAAAAUGGAUUGCAGGUUCUAGCAGGAUGUCAUAAUAAAUGGUGCAUAUCCAGAGUGCAAGAUGAUUCAGUCUCACCAAGAACACUGAAAGUCACAUGGCUACCAGCAUUAUUGUGAUAAGAACUACUAUUUUGGGAGAUAGUUUAGCAAAGGUGCCAUGUAGAAAUUGAUUAAGUCAGAGGUAUCUUUAACUUGCCACCACAGAGAAGAGAUUAAUUUCAUAUACUUCCAUUGAGAAGAGAGAUAAGAAUACAAAACCAAGCUGAUUUGCAGGAGUAAACUUGAUAUUCAAAUACUAUUUCCUGAAUGACAUUUUCUGAGACAUGCUAAUUGUAAUUACUUUCAGCUUCAAAACAUAAUAAAUUUAUCUCAUAGUAAGCAUAUAGAUGGAAUAAAUAAAAUGUGAACUUAGGUAAAUUAUAAAUUAAUAAAGUAUAUUUUUAAAAUUUC
RNAcentral lists this long non-coding RNA (564 nucleotides) under Homo sapiens (human). RNAcentral describes it as "HSALNT0395471". Lineage: Eukaryota; Metazoa; Chordata; Mammalia; Primates; Hominidae. The record is from RNAcentral.